RNAcentral lists this transfer RNA (73 nucleotides) under Staphylococcus aureus. RNAcentral's name for it is "tRNA-Lys". It matches the Rfam family "tRNA". From Rfam's summary of the family: Transfer RNA (tRNA) molecules are approximately 80 nucleotides in length. Lineage: Bacteria; Bacillati; Bacillota; Bacilli; Caryophanales; Staphylococcaceae. RNAcentral also lists the same sequence under 1 other name. The record is from RNAcentral.
GAGCCAUUAGCUCAGUUGGUAGAGCAUCUGACUUUUAAUCAGAGGGUAAGAGGUUCGAAUCCUCUAUGGCUCA